RNAcentral lists this ribosomal RNA (473 nucleotides) under uncultured bacterium. RNAcentral's name for it is "bacterial SSU rRNA". It matches the Rfam family "Bacterial small subunit ribosomal RNA", at positions 8 to 526 of the family's 1533-position model. The record is from RNAcentral.
AGAGUUUGAUCCUGGCUCAGAACGAACGCUGGCGGCAUGCCUAACACAUGCAAGUCGAACGAAGCCUUCGGGCUUAGUGGCGCACGGGUGCGUAACGCGUGGGAAUCUGCCCUUGGCUUCGGAAUAACAGUUAGAAAUGACUGCUAAUACCGGAUGAUGUCUUCGGACCAAAGAUUUAUCGGCCAGGGAUGAGUCCGCGUAGGAUUAGGUAGUUGGUGGGGUAAAGGCCUACCAAGCCGACGAUCCUUAGCUGGUCUGAGAGGAUGAUCAGCCACACUGGGACUGAGACACGGCCCAGACUCCUACGGGAGGCAGCAGUGGGGAAUAUUGGACAAUGGGCGCAAGCCUGAUCCAGCAAUGCCGCGUGAGUGAUGAAGGCCUUAGGGUCGUAAAGCUCUUUUACCAGGGAUGAUAAUGACAGUACCUGGAGAAUAAGCUCCGGCUAACUCCGUGCCAGCAGCCGCGGUAAUAAU